UACGUAGGAGACGAGCGUUGUCCGGAGUUACUGGGCGUAAAGGGCGCGUAGGUGGCGCGAGGAGUCUGUGGUGAAAGCCCGAGGCUCAACCUCGGAUCGGCCGUGGCGACUCGUGGGCUGGAGCACUGUAGAGGCGGGUGGAAUUCCGGGUGUAGCGGUGGAAUGCGUAGAGAUCCGGAAGAACACCAGUGGCGAAGGCGGCCCGCUGGGCAGUGGCUGACGCUGAGGCGCGACAGCGUGGGGAGCAAACAGG
This 253-nucleotide ribosomal RNA is filed under the name uncultured bacterium. Its description in RNAcentral is "partial 16S ribosomal RNA". It matches the Rfam family "Bacterial small subunit ribosomal RNA", at positions 524 to 776 of the family's 1533-position model. The record is from RNAcentral.